UACGUAGGGUGCAAGCGUUACUCGGAAUUACUGGGCGUAAAGCGUGCGUAGGUGGUGAGUUAAGUCUGUCGUGAAAGCCCCGGGCUCAACCUGGGAAUGGCGAUGGAUACUGGCUCGCUAGAGUGCGGUAGAGGAGAGUGGAAUUCCCGGUGUAGCAGUGAAAUGCGUAGAGAUCGGGAGGAACACCGAUGGCGAAGGCAAUCCCCUGGACCUGUACUGACGCUCAUGCACGAAAGCGUGGGGAGCAAACAGG
Molecule: ribosomal RNA, 253 nt
Filed under: uncultured bacterium
Lineage: Bacteria
Description: partial 16S ribosomal RNA
Rfam family: Bacterial small subunit ribosomal RNA
Source: RNAcentral